Molecule: ribosomal RNA, 236 nt
Filed under: uncultured bacterium
Lineage: Bacteria
Description: partial 16S ribosomal RNA
Rfam family: Bacterial small subunit ribosomal RNA
Source: RNAcentral
CGGGACGGGGUGGAGUAAUGUCUGGGAAACGUGCCUGAUGAGGGGGAGUAACUACUGGAAACGGUAGCUAAUACCGCAUAACGUCGCAAGACCAAAGAGGGGGACCUUCGGGCCUCUUGCCAUCGGAUGUGCCCAGAUGGGAUUAGCUAGUAGGUGGGGUAACGGCUCACCUAGGCGACGAUCCCUAGCUGGUCUGAGAGGAUGACCAGCCACACUGGAACUGAGACACGGUCCAG